This 372-nucleotide ribosomal RNA is filed under the name uncultured organism. Its description in RNAcentral is "bacterial SSU rRNA". It matches the Rfam family "Bacterial small subunit ribosomal RNA", at positions 526 to 896 of the family's 1533-position model. The record is from RNAcentral.
CGUAGGUGGCAAGCGUUGUCCGGAAUUAUUGGGCGUAAAGCGCGCGCAGGCGGUCCUUUAAGUCUGAUGUGAAAGCCCACGGCUCAACCGUGGAGGGUCAUUGGAAACUGGGGGACUUGAGUACAGAAGAGAAGAGUGGAAUUCCACGUGUAGCGGUGAAAUGCGUAGAGAUGUGGAGGAACACCAGUGGCGAAGGCGACUCUUUGGUCUGUAACUGACGCUGAGGCGCGAAAGCGUGGGGAGCAAACAGGAUUAGAUACCCUGGUAGUCCACGCUGUAAACGAUGAGUGCUAAGUGUUAGAGGGUUUCCGCCCUUUAGUGCUGCAGCUAACGCAUUAAGCACUCCGCCUGGGGAGUACGGCCGGAAGGCUG